AGCUCCAAUAGCGUAUGCUAAAGUUGUUGCAGUUAAAAGGCUCGUAGUCGAACUUAUGACCCUGUGAACCUGGCCCAUCCUCUAGUGGGUUGCGCGCCGGUGUGCACGGGUCAUUCUUCCACAGAUCAUUUCUGCCCUUGAUUGGGUUUGAUAUGUAAUGCGGAUCACUUACUGUGAGUAAAUCAAAGUGUUCAAAGCAGGCUUCAACGCUUGUAUGGUUCAGCAUGGAAUAAUAAGAUAAGACUUCGGUUUUGUUUUGUUGGCUAUAGAACCAAAGUAAUGAUUGAAAGGGAUAGUUGGGGGUGCUAGUAUUUUAUGGUCAGCGGUGAAAUGCGAGGACCCAUGAAAGACUAACUUAUGCGAAAGCAUUCACCAAGGAUAUCUUCUUUGAUCAAGAACG
Molecule: ribosomal RNA, 400 nt
Filed under: phytoplankton environmental sample
Lineage: Eukaryota
Description: partial small subunit ribosomal RNA
Rfam family: Eukaryotic small subunit ribosomal RNA
Source: RNAcentral